This 102-nucleotide ribosomal RNA is filed under the name Vibrio kanaloae. RNAcentral describes it as "partial 16S ribosomal RNA". Lineage: Bacteria; Pseudomonadati; Pseudomonadota; Gammaproteobacteria; Vibrionales; Vibrionaceae. The record is from RNAcentral.
UUAAAUUGAAGAGUUUGAUCAUGGCUCAGAUUGAACGCUGGCGGCAGGCCUAACACAUGCAAGUCGAGCGGAAACGACACUAACAAUCCUUCGGGUGCGUUA